Molecule: ribosomal RNA, 443 nt
Filed under: uncultured bacterium
Lineage: Bacteria
Description: partial 16S ribosomal RNA
Rfam family: Bacterial small subunit ribosomal RNA
Source: RNAcentral
CCUACGGGAGGCAGCAGUGGGGAAUAUUGGGCAAUGGAGGCAACUCUGACCCAGCAAUGCCGCGUGAGUGAUGAAGGUAAUUUUAUUGUAAAGCUCUUUUCUUUGGAACGAAUAAAUGACGGUACCAAAGGAAUAAGCCCCGGCUAACUACGUGCCAGCAGCCGCGGUAAUACGUAGGGGGCAAGCGUUGUUCGGAAUGACUGGGCGUAAAGGGUGUGUAGGUGGUUUGAUAAGUUAGAUGUGUAAUACCCAGGGCUUAACUCGGGUGCUGCAUCUAAAACUGUUAGACUUGAGUACUGGAGAGGAUAGUGGAAUUCCUAGUGUAGCGGUGGAAUGCGUAGAUAUUAGGAGGAACAUCAGUGGCGAAGGCGACUAUCUGGACAGCAACUGACACUGAGGCACGAAAGCGUGGGGAGCAAACAGGAUUAGAUACCCCAGUAGUC